RNAcentral lists this ribosomal RNA (1912 nucleotides) under Myxobolus axelrodi. RNAcentral's name for it is "SSU rRNA". It matches the Rfam family "Eukaryotic small subunit ribosomal RNA". Lineage: Eukaryota; Metazoa; Cnidaria; Myxozoa; Bivalvulida; Myxobolidae. The record is from RNAcentral.
UCUGAAAGACUAAGCCAUGCAUGUGCCAGUUCAUACAUUACAACGUGAGACUGCGGAAGGCUCAGUAAAUCAGUUAUAAUCUGUUCGAAAGUGAACCCAGUGGAUAACCGUGGGAAAUCUAGAGCUAAUACAUGCAACCAAGACGGCUGCAGCAAUGUAGUCGUUUGCAUUUAUUGGAGAAAACCAAAUGCUUGGCGGUAAGUCGUCAAGUAGGGUGAAUCUAGAUAACUCUGCAGAUCGCAUGGCCUUGUGCUGGCGAUGUUUCGAUUGAAUUUCUGCCCUAUCAACUUGUUGGUAAGGUAGUGGCUUACCAAGGUUGCAACGGGUAACGGGGAAUCAGGGUUCGAUUCCGGAGAGGGAGCCUGAGAAACGGCUACCACAUCCAAGGAAGGCAGCAGGCGCGCAAAUUACCCAAUCCAGACAAUGGGAGGUGGUGACCAGAAGUACUGGAUGGUAGAUUAUAUCUACUAAUUCCGGAAUGAGCAUAAAGUAAAAAGUUAGUCGAGAAACAACUGGAGGGCAAGUCUGGUGCCAGCAGCCGCGGUAAUUCCAGCUCCAGUAGCAUGUCGUAAAGUUGUUGCGUUUAAAACGCUCGUAGUUGGAUCAUACGGCAGCGUCCGGUUAACCUGCAAGUGCGGACGGAUAAGGCAGUGGGUGCUUGGUCGGUAGUUGACUCUGCCGAUGCUUGGCCUGCUGUUGUCCGCAGUGUGGGUUGUCUGCCGGUCGCUGCUACUUGCACGUAAGAAUGGUGGUUGGCCUUGAGUGCGUCGACCACUGUGUCUUACGGAGUGUGCCUUGAAUAAAUCAGAGUGCUUAAAGCAGGCCUGUGCCUGAAUGAUACAGCAUGGAACGAACAAACGUGGUACGUGUGUCGGACUCGUUGUUACCACUUCGAGCACGAUACACAGCACCAACCCACUGCACGGAUGUUGGUUUCCGUACGGGGGUGAUGAUUAAAACGAGCGGUUGGGGGCAUUGGUAUUUGGCCGCGAGAGGUGAAAUUCUUAGACCGGCCAAGGACUAACAAAAGCGAAGGCAUUUGCCAAGACCGUCUCGAUUGAUCAAGAACGAUAGUGAGAGGUUCGAAGACGAUCAGAUACCGUCCUAGUUCUCACCGUAAACUAUGCCGACCCGGGAUCAGUUUUGAGCUAAUUUCAACGCUCCAGGUUGGUCCCCCUGGGAAACCUAAAGUCUUUGGGUUACGGGGGGAGUAUGGUCGCAAGGCUGAAACUUAAAGGAAUUGACGGAAGGGCACCACCAGGGGUGGAGCCUGCGGCUUAAUUUGACUCAACACGCGAAAACUCACCAGUUCCGGACGUCAAAAGGAUAGACAGACUGAUAGAUCUUUCUUGAUAUGAUGUGUGGUGGUGCAUGGCCGUUCUUAGUUCGUGAAGUGAUUUGUCAGGUUGAUUCCGGUAACGAACGAGACCAACUUCUCCAUUUACGACACGGGAUAGCGGGUUUGUAGCCUGCUCUAGUCACCUGCCAGUCGAAGACUCGAUCUGAGACCGGUAGAGGGCUACCCUCCCGUGAUAUCGUUUGCGGCAACGUAAGCGAUUGCAUGGAGAGACAACUGGCAAUAUAUAAAAUCAGAGGAAGUUUGGCAAUAACAGGUCUGUGAUGCCCUUAGACGUACUGGGCUGCACGCGCGCUACAAUGAUGACGACAGCGAGCUAUCUGAGCCGAAAGGCUUGGGAAAUCUGUCAAUCGUCAUCGUGAUGGGGAUUGUCCAUUGUAAUUUGGACAUGAAAUAGGAAUCCCUUGUACGUGCACUUCAUUUAGAGUGCAUGGAAUGUGUCCCUGCCCUUUGUACACACCGCCCGUCGCUACUACCGAGUGAAUGGUGUCAUGAUGCGUUGGGACUGGACGCCAUUCGGGUUCACGCCCGAUAGGUGCUAGGAUCAACGUAGAA